CUCUCUCCCGCUCCCUGCUACCAACCAGCAGCACUGACUGAAGCAGCCGGCCGGCCUGCCUGCCUCCACACUCGAUCCAUCGUGUCCCUUGUUAUAGCUGUGAGCGAGCUCAGUGACAGUGGAGGAGGGUGAGCGCUGUCUACCUGCACACUGCCUCCACCUCUGCCUAAUGUUUUGACACUCUGUUGACGUGGGUUUGGAUACGUACACAGCCAGCCAGGGAAGACACCCGGAUUAAUACUCUGGUGGAUGUGGUGAGACGCUCAGCAACACCAAUUGGUCGAUGACCAGAGGCGUACCUUCAGGCCAGGAUGGGAUGCUGCAACUCCAAGAAACUGCCAGAUGAGGACAUCGAGUUCCUCGUGUCCAACACCAACUUUGAGAAGGGUGAAAUUCUCAAGUGGUACAAGGGCUUCAUGGAAGACUGUCCAGAUGGACAGCUGUCAAAGGAGAAGUUCAAGAAUGUCUACGCCAACUUCUUCCCGGGAGGAAAUCCAGAUGCCUUUUGUGAGCAUGUGUUCAGGUCAUUUGACCGUGAUGGAAGUGGGUCAAUAGAAUUCAAGGAGUUUCUAAUGGCGAUCAACAUCACAUCACAAAAAGGAAAAGCAGAGGACAAACUCAACUGGGCCUUUGACAUGUACGACAUUGAUGGUAAUGGAACCAUUGAGAAGAAUGAGAUGGAGAGCAUUAUAGAGGCCAUCUACAGCAUGCUGGGGAGCCAUCUGUCGGAAGAUGUCACAGACUCGCCAACAGUACGGACAGAAAAAAUAUUUGACACAAUGGACGUGAACAAAGAUGGCGUAUUGACAAAGGAGGAGUUUAUUAAAGGUUGUAUGGAGGACACGAUGUUGUACCAGAUGCUGACAGCAGAUGCAGAAGCCUCGAAGGAGUAAUACCACACUCUCAUUCCACAUGCCUCACCAGGAAAAUGGGCCUUAACAUGCAUUUUCAAAUCAAAAGAUAUAUGUAUUGGAUUUAUGCAAGGGAAAUAACUCUGUGCACAGAGAGAGAUGAGUAGGUGAGACAAAGGUCAAGGUCAAGAUCAUUCACAGGAAGUGAUUCUGUAACAACUGAUGUCAUCACUUUUCAAGAAUUAUAAAGAAGCAAACUGAACUCAGCCAAUACAGUUAUUAGCUUACCACUAACACAAAAAGGUAUUCUAAGUAUGUCUUCUAGCAAAAAGUACUUUUGAAUAUAAAACUACCAACAUUGAUCCAGCCAAUGCAGUUUGCAUUCAAUGAACAGUUUUAAGAGAAAUUGAGGGCAAUCAUUUUCGAGCUGUGUACCUUCCUGGUUUUUUUUCUCUGUAUGUAUAUAGAUAUGUGGAGAAAAUGUUUUUGUUACAAAGGUAAAUCUUACCUGAUGCAGAUGGAUUACCCGGAGAAAGAGCCCACAACAAAUUCAUGUAAUACGGACCAACUUCAUAUCACCAUGGCAACUGUUUGUAAGAGCAGGGCCCUGUCUUUGUGGUGGAAUCAUCAUGUUUGUAUGAAGUGUAUGCAUGGUGUCAUGCAUAUUGCAUAUGUCAGUGCUUUCUGUAGUAAGACCAGGCACCUGUAUAUAUGUGUACAGGUGCAGCUGGACAUAUUCUAGAGCAGCUUCUGGUGACCUCAGCCAGAUUGCAGCAGCUAUUAGCAUGACAGUUGCUUUAAAGGGGCUCUCUGAUCAUGGUGUAUCAUAAAGCUCAGCAAUGGAGUAGUUAAUGAAUAAAGUUCAUUGUGCUUGAAACAAGAUUGAAAGAUAUGAAAAUUUUAACAGUGGAAGUGCUUUACUGUCAUUCAAAGAGCCCCUUUAACAUUUUAGAUUUCCCUCCACACAUUCCCAAAACAGCAAGAUUUAUGUUGUUAUCCCCCGUUAAGGUUUGGAUGUGCAUAUACUGACAGAUAGAGCAGGAUAGUGGUUUAGUCGUGUCUUAUUUGAACACACUUUAUCAUGACUGGAAAACCAGAUUAUGUUUUACAAAUCUUUUAAUGUGACAUUACUCUAUCUGCCCUUUGCAAAGAUACCAGUCCUUUAUACAAAGGGAAUGCUCACAUGACGGUGAAUAGAUUUUAUAAACAAACCUUUCCUUACACUUCAUGUAAACCCAAAAGCCAGUAUGAAGUUUCUUGUUCAGAAAAGGUCAUUAUCAAAAUCUGAUCUUGCACUUUCAAGGCCUCUGUUCAUAGAAUCUUUUCGCAUAUUAUACUCACACAUUGACAAAUAUGAAACCAACAAAUAGUUUGCCAUUGCUUACAUACUAGAGUUUGCAUGAAGAUGUCAAACCGGUUUUGUGUUGUAUUUCCCCACCUAGACAGGUUCCUGGUUUAGUUGUACCAGCUCAUGUCAUUCAACUUGUGUCCUUUCCGGAGGAGAUACCACAUCAUUCAUCUUUUUAAUACUUUUGUUUCCAGCCCAAGAGCUGCUGUAUGUUCACAUUUUGCAUAUCUAUGUCAUCUACCCACCAGGAGAAGGAAUAUUCUGCACAUGUUGUGUCCAGAAAACAGAAUGCCAUAUCCUGCCUUCAAGAAGCAGAAUGGCAUGUUGUGUGUUCUGGAGAUGAAAUGGCAUGUUCUGUGUUCUUGAGGUGAACUGCCAUAUUCUGUGUUCUAUGGUUGUAGAGGAUGCUUGUGGAGGGUGAUUAGCCUACUUGUGGCUGGUGGGCAAGGCAGAUGCCACCUCUGAAUGAGUGAUGCCAUCUUGACACUUUGUCAAACCGUUAUCACAUUUCAGCUGAAUAUAUUCAUAUAUAUAUAUUACUUGUACUCUCUGUGGAGUUUAUGUAAGUCUCAAAUGUCUGUCCAUGAUUGUGUUCGCGAAUGUGUGAACACCACACUGACAUGAAGAGUAAACAGUCCACUAUCUCUGACAACAUCGGAAUAUCACACAUGCAUAAGAAACAACUUGCAUUCACUGAACAGACCUGAAAGAUGGGCUUUCUUUUCUUAUCAUCUCAAACUUUUCCAUAUAUUUCAAAAUUUUCGUAACAUAUGAGCCAAUUGGAUUAUGACUGAAGCAAGAAAACAAUGUCUGACGACAAAGGAAGUGAUAAAUUCUUCCACUUGAAUCGUAAUUUGACCAUCUUCCCUGAAGGCUGCUGGACCUUUUACGAAUGCUUCAAAGUUCAUUGAUUCUCUAGAACACUGCACUAUCAAUAUUUUAUAAGUGCUUCAGGGCUGUAAACAUGCCGGCUCAGAAGCUUAUGAACAAGGGUAACUCCAUUCUGUUUGUUACCAGCAUGGCUGGGGACUCUACAUUGUUGCAUAUAGAGGUUGUAUCUCAUGUCCGCUGUUACCACUGCACGCAGCAGGCUUGUUAUCUGAAAUAUAUCACCUCAACACCAGGCAACAAUCAGUCACAAUGACCUACCUAAUCAGAUUCUAUUAGGCAUCAAACACAUAACUGCAGUGUAAAUUUUAAGAAAACUCAAGUAGGAUCUUGUGUUGUUUACUCUUCCAUCUGUUGAGUUUCUUUGACCUGAAACUGAAAACUGAAAAGGAAAGAAGUUAAAACAAUUUUGAGAGAUUGGCUGACAAAUUUAACAUGGCAAAACAAAUACUUAAGUUGCAAUUUAGUGCUUUUAACUUGGCCUCCAUGAUCAUUUGUAAAACACAGAAUCUGUUGCAGGCAUUAGUUACAAUCUAAACGGUAUCAAGUAUUUGUUUAGAAUGGAGCCAGAUAUGUUUCUUUACAAAAAAUUAAAUGAUGCCCUCAUGAUGCAGUAGAAUUAAUUUUUAAUACUGUAUGGUAGUUCCUCUGUGCUAACAAUCUAAAUGAGCAUUUCAUUGUAUCUUGCUUCAAGUUGAAUGUGUGAGUGGUUUGCUUUCCUGAGUCAUGUAAAAAAAAUGUGCCCCCUUCCCCAAGCUGAUGUCAGUAAAGUAAAUUUGAUACUUUCUUGCAAAAUACAGUGAAAUGUUGGUGUAUGGCCUGGUGAAUCUUGAAAUGAAUCAUUCAUUAGUGCACUUGUCAAUGCUGUGUGUGCCAAAGUGUACUGCACCAGCCUGGCAUGGCCAUCAACAAGGUAACAGUAAUGGUGUUCGGGCUGAUUACAUCAACUGUGAAAGGCAAGAACUGUCUAUCUACUUUAUUGAAGGUUCUGCUUCCUAUGUUAGCACACAUCUCUCACCACAUCAAUUACACGCUGCAAAAUCAUCAUCAAACUACUUUAUAAAGCCAUUAGAUAAGUAUGUUGGGUCUUCAUUAAUCAGGAACUAGGGAAAUCUGAAACAAAAUUGAGCUUGGUGUAUCUUGGCAAAGUGUCUUCAUACAUGUUUUCAUACCAAUUAUCCAAAAUACUGUUGUUCAACAUUGGCUAAAGCAUAAUCCCAGUCUGUGAACAAACACCGAGGUCAUGACCUUGGGUUAUGCAGGUAUAUUGAAUUACUCAUUCAUGGGUGAGGUGAUCAUAUAGUUUUCAUGACAUAUCGAUUAACGCACAUUUUGACUGUUGUCAAGCAAAAAGUUACCUCAAUGUAGGUUAAAAACCAGGGAAACAUGAUAUGAUCGGUUGAGAGUAUGUUUGUAAGUACCCUGGGGAAGACGUCACAAUAUCUUCUGUCAGAAGUUGCUAGUGGUUUCCUUGCACUGUGUAUUGUGCUUUUAAGAUAACGUUUCCAGUAUCUUUGAUAUUGUUUUGUGUCUGUGGUUACGUGUCUCACUCAAUUUGUAAUGUGAGAAAUCAGUGGCAGCUUGCAGGGGAGGAUUCUGACAGACAUGAGGACACUGGCAAAAUAUGUGUUUUUUGUGACCCCUUUCUAUAUUAUGUGAUGGAAACUAUAUUAUAUAUAUGAGAGACUGGUUUGUUACCAAGGAUCAUUGGUUGUACCACCAAUUGGGUUGGAGGAAGCUGUUUAUCAAUCACCUUACAGAGAUUGGGAUUUUGCAAGACAUUUGUGAAAUAGGAAAACUAAAUGUUGAAAUUCUGUGAAUAGUUCUUGUAACAUCACAUUGAUGGACACUUCAUUUGGCUGAUUGAAUGUAAUCUUUUGAACUGAGACAAAAUACACAAGUUCACAUUUUGUUUUUAUAGAAAAUACCAGGGUUCCGACCCCAUGACAUAUCAAUGAAAUGGUGAAGAGAUGUCAGCAGCAUUCCUACAAGCUGAUCUACACGCAUCGUUGUACUUGCUGUCGGGACGGAACAUCCUGUCAGUAGACAUCAGUCCAUUGAUUCCCAUAAUACUCUAGACUGACAUGCACUUCAAGACACUCAUUGGGCAAUGAAGCUCCGGUGUGGAGCAUUUAACUGGCUUCAUAUUGCAUGAUUACAGUGUUAAAAGGAUUCACAGCAUUGGUUUGAUGUUAAUGGAAACAGUUUUUGCAGAUAUAUUUGACACAAUGUAAUUAGGUUUCAGAAAAAAAGCAAACUUAUAACACUUCCUGACAAGAGAGUUACCAUGUGUUAAUACUUCCUGAUAACUGUUUAGACUAUGUUAGAGGGAAAAUGUUCUGUUUUUGAAUUAUAUAUCACAUUUGCCAUCAGAACUUCAUAGUUUAUCAUGCACUAGUUAUUUGGGUGAACAUAUUUUUGUUCCUAGAUAUAAACUGUUUCAUGCCUAAUGAUCUUUUUAAGUAGAUGUAUGAACUUUGGCCAUGCAUACACAUCCCAUCUCUGACAGUGUAAAUUCAAUUAUUCUUCGGGAACAUUGGCCAUCUUCAUGUCAGUAUGUGUUGUAUGGAAAUGUGAGAUGUCACAGUUGAACUGUCAACCCAUCUGUGGCUAUACUACCUAGGAAGUUCUUCCCAUCAGUGGCUAUGCCAUGUAGGCAGUUCUUCCCAUCAGUGGCUAUACUACCUAGGCAGUUCUUCCCAUCAGUGGCUAUACUACCUAGGCAGUUCUUCCCAUCAGUGGCUAUGCCAUGUAGGCAGUUCUUCCCAUCAGUGGCUAUGCCAUGUAGGCAGUUCUUCCCAUCAGUGGCUAUGCCAUGUAGGCAGUUCUUCACCCAAGGGGUAAAUGUGUAGGUU
RNAcentral lists this unclassified non-coding RNA (5942 nucleotides) under Haliotis rubra (blacklip abalone). RNAcentral's name for it is "neuronal calcium sensor 2-like, transcript variant X4". The record is from RNAcentral. Lineage: Eukaryota; Metazoa; Mollusca; Gastropoda; Lepetellida; Haliotidae.